CCUACGGGUGGCUGCAGUGGGGAAUAUUGGACAAUGGGGGAAACCCUGAUCCAGCAAUGCCGCGUGUGUGAAGAAGGCCUGCGGGUUGUAAAGCACUUUCGGUUGGGAAGAAAAGUUUGGCGCCAAUACCGCCGAACCUUGACGUUACUGACAGAAGAAGCACCGGCUAACUCUGUGCCAGCAGCCGCGGUAAUACAGAGGGUGCAAGCGUUGAUGGUGAUCACUGGGCGCGGGUGGUACGUAGCCGGGCUUAAGCGGGGAACUGAAUUCGAUACUACAUGGCUAGAGUAUGGUAGAGGGAAGUGGAAUUUCCGGUGUAGCGGUGAAAUGCGUAGAUAUCGGAAGGAACACCAAUGGCGAAGGCAGCUUCCUGGACUAAUACUGACACUGAGGCACGAAAGCGUGGGUAGCAAACAGGAUUAGAUACCCUGGUAGUC
This 437-nucleotide ribosomal RNA is filed under the name uncultured bacterium. Its description in RNAcentral is "partial 16S ribosomal RNA". It matches the Rfam family "Bacterial small subunit ribosomal RNA", at positions 338 to 795 of the family's 1533-position model. The record is from RNAcentral.